GUAGGUGGCAAGCGUUGUCCGGAAUUAUUGGGCGUAAAGCGCGCGCAGGCGGUUCUUUAAGUCUGAUGUGAAAGCCCACGGGCUCAACCGUGGAGGGUCAUUGGAAACUGGAGAACUUGAGUACAGAAGAGGAAAGCGGAAUUCCACGUGUAGCGGUGAAAUGCGUAGAGAUGUGGAGGAACACCAGUGGCGAAGGCGGCUUUCUGGUCUGUAACUGACGCUGAGGCGCGAAAGCGUGGGGAGCAAACAGGAUUAGAUACCCUGGUAGUCCACGCCGUAAACGACGAGUGCUAAGUGUUAGGGGGUUUCCGCCCCUUAGUGCUGCAGCUAACGCAUUAAGCACUCCGCCUGGGGAGUACGGCCGCAAAGGCUG
RNAcentral lists this ribosomal RNA (373 nucleotides) under uncultured organism. Its description in RNAcentral is "partial 16S ribosomal RNA". It matches the Rfam family "Bacterial small subunit ribosomal RNA", at positions 527 to 896 of the family's 1533-position model. The record is from RNAcentral.